Molecule: ribosomal RNA, 727 nt
Filed under: Pseudomonas sp. S1ID14
Lineage: Bacteria; Pseudomonadati; Pseudomonadota; Gammaproteobacteria; Pseudomonadales; Pseudomonadaceae
Also listed under: 1 other name
Description: bacterial SSU rRNA
Rfam family: Bacterial small subunit ribosomal RNA
Source: RNAcentral
CUAACACAUGCAAGUCGAGCGGAUGACAGGAGCUUGCUCCUGAAUUCAGCGGCGGACGGGUGAGUAAUGCCUAGGAAUCUGCCUGGUAGUGGGGGACAACGUUUCGAAAGGAACGCUAAUACCGCAUACGUCCUACGGGAGAAAGCAGGGGACCUUCGGGCCUUGCGCUAUCAGAUGAGCCUAGGUCGGAUUAGCUAGUUGGUGAGGUAAUGGCUCACCAAGGCGACGAUCCGUAACUGGUCUGAGAGGAUGAUCAGUCACACUGGAACUGAGACACGGUCCAGACUCCUACGGGAGGCAGCAGUGGGGAAUAUUGGACAAUGGGCGAAAGCCUGAUCCAGCCAUGCCGCGUGUGUGAAGAAGGUCUUCGGAUUGUAAAGCACUUUAAGUUGGGAGGAAGGGCAUUAACCUAAUACGUUAGUGUUUUGACGUUACCGACAGAAUAAGCACCGGCUAACUCUGUGCCAGCAGCCGCGGUAAUACAGAGGGUGCAAGCGUUAAUCGGAAUUACUGGGCGUAAAGCGCGCGUAGGUGGUUUGUUAAGUUGGAUGUGAAAUCCCCGGGCUCAACCUGGGAACUGCAUUCAAAACUGACAAGCUAGAGUAUGGUAGAGGGUGGUGGAAUUUCCUGUGUAGCGGUGAAAUGCGUAGAUAUAGGAAGGAACACCAGUGGCGAAGGCGACCACCUGGACUGAUACUGACACUGAGGUGCGAAAGCGUGGGGAGCA